CAAAAACAUGUCCUUUUGUAUUUAAAUAUAAGGUCUAACCUGCCCAAUGAAUAUUGUUUAAUGGCCGCGGUAUAUUAACUGUGCUAAGGUAGCAUAAUCAUUUGUCUUUUAAUUAAAGGCUAGAAUGAACGGUUGGACGAGAUAUAUACUUUCUUUAGUUUAAUUUAUGAAUUUAAUUUUUUGGUUAAAAAGCUAAAAUUUAUUUGAGGGACGAGAAGACCCUAUAGAUCUUUAUAUAUUUAAUUUUUAUAUAUUUUGGUAAAUAAAUUAUUUUAAUAAUUGUGUAUAUUUGAUUGGGGUGAUUGUAGAAUAAAAUUAACUUCUAUUUUAUAUUAUCAUUAAUUAAUGUUUAAUUGAUCCAAUUUUUUUGAUUAUAAGAUUAAGUUACCUUAGGGAUAACAGCGUAAUUCUUUUGGAGAGCUCAUAUCGAUAAAAGAGUUUGCGACCUCGAUGUUGGAUUAAAAUAAGUCUUGGGUGUAGCAGCUAAAGAACUAGGUCUGUUCGACCUUUAAUUUUUUACAUGAUCUGA
Molecule: ribosomal RNA, 529 nt
Filed under: Rocconota sp. 00005054
Lineage: Eukaryota; Metazoa; Arthropoda; Insecta; Hemiptera; Reduviidae
Description: partial 16S ribosomal RNA
Rfam family: Bacterial large subunit ribosomal RNA
Source: RNAcentral